GUGGAUUUUGAAUAAGAUCUGGGACUGAAUCCUGGCUCCGCUACAAAAAGAUGUGACCAGGCAAGAGUGGAAGAGAAGGAGUUCCUUCAUACUGCCAGAGAAUUCUCUCAGAAGAAGAAGAUGGGAUUAGGAUGGCCACAUUUUGAAAAUGGUUGGUUUGUCCUUGCUUGGACCACUUCUGGAGUUUGCUGUUCACGUGUGGGUGACAUAUUUUAAGAAGGAAAUUGAUAAACUGGAGAACUCUGAGAAAGGCAACCAGAAAGACUCCUCUUCAAAGCGAUUCUUCUUCAAGGAAUGACCUGGAGGCCAGUCAUUCAUUCAACAGACAAAGAUGGGCUACUUCUGAGUGCUCCCCUUAUCCAACACUGAGGACUUGGGACUGGAAGAAGGCAAAGAGAUCCGAGGUCCUAACGGACGGGAGAGAUGAAGGCAU
This is a long non-coding RNA of Vombatus ursinus (common wombat), 433 nucleotides long. RefSeq lists it as uncharacterized. NCBI's taxonomy places the organism in Eukaryota, Metazoa, Chordata, Mammalia, Diprotodontia, Vombatidae. The transcript is spliced from 3 exons. The record is from RefSeq and is a predicted model, not a curated record.